UUUCCAUAACAUUUUCCUUAAAUCUAGCGAUGACUCUCUAAAGAUCAAUGCAUAAAAAUCGUUUUUUAUGUAUUCGGUAAAAAGUAUCUUCCUCAUGAUAGUCCUAACAUUACCUAAUUGGGGUGAUUUGAUUCCGGCGAAGACAACCUGCAAAAGCUUGAUGUGUUUUUAGAUGAAAAGUUGUCCUUCAAGGAACACAUUAUUAUUCAGAAGAGCUUAGGAUGCACUUAAAAUAAUUUAUGCACAUAAAGAAUACCUUGCCAGGAAUUUUUGCAGUUCUGAGUAUAGAUAGUCCUUGUUUGAAUUAAAUUGACCAAAAAACGGUUCAGAAAGUCUAAAAUAGAUGUUUAAGUCACCUGUAACCUUCCAGUCUCACUACUAGAAGUUCCCUCCUCGAAAUAUUUGAAUAUCCUCCUGCAGAGCCUGGGUGUAAGGCCAGGAUCAUGGGGAAAUCCCAUCAUGGUAUGAGUCUUUCCUGAAGACGUCUGUCCAUACGCCAAGACGCAGGAGUGGUUACGAUUUUUCAGCGAGGUCCCCACAAUAUCUUCUAUGGUUUGGAAUAACUAGGAAAAUUCAUUAAAAAAUAUUAAAUUUUU
Molecule: long non-coding RNA, 596 nt
Organism: Anthonomus grandis grandis
Lineage: Eukaryota; Metazoa; Arthropoda; Insecta; Coleoptera; Curculionidae
Exons: 2
Source: RefSeq, a predicted model, not a curated record